CUCAGGCUUCCCAGUAAACAAUGAGCAGUUGGUUCCACAUGGCUCCCUGUCAAAAAUCCCAAACUGGAAAGGCAGGAAAACAAACAAUCAGAUCAGGAAGAAAUGGGUUUUUGGCACCAGUUUCCUCUGUGUUGACUGGGCUGUGAGACAGACCCUGAGAAAUGGCUCAGAUUUGAGUCAAACAGCCCAGGCAGGGAUGGGGAGGGUGGAGAAAUGGAUAAAAAUACUGGAUAAAAAUGAGAUGCAGGCACCUGCAUGUGCUGAGGAGCAGGGGAAGAGCACAGGUCCCUGUGUGCUUCCCACAUGGCAGAGACAUUUCAAACACAGGAGGCUGCCUGGUGAGGCAGGACGAGUGCCAGGAAAAUCUGUGCUCCAGCUGAAAGGAGGAUUUGGGGAGUGGAGAGCAGCACUUGGUUCAGAAAUGGAGAAUAAACUGAGGGUCUGAGGUGGAGCAGAAAGCAAAGGCUUCUCCUCUGUGCUCAGGUUCCACUGACAGGCUGGAGCUGCUGCCUCUUUGGGCAUAACCCAGACAAAUUCAGUGCUUCUGGAUCAGCCCAUUCAGGAUGCAGCUUCCAAAAGGAGGAUUGUCUGGUUUUGGAAAAGUUCCUACUUCAGGAAAGUUUAGUCUCUCCUUACAUAAACAUCCUGAGGUGUAGGACGAGUUUUUUUCUCUCCCCUGGCCUUGUUAGCGUUGAUAUUAUUGC
Long non-coding RNA from Zonotrichia leucophrys gambelii, 704 nucleotides. RefSeq lists it as uncharacterized. The transcript is spliced from 3 exons. The record is from RefSeq and is a predicted model, not a curated record. NCBI's taxonomy places the organism in Eukaryota, Metazoa, Chordata, Aves, Passeriformes, Passerellidae.